GGUGGGGCUAAUGACUGGGGUGAAGUCGUAACAAGGUAGCCGUACCGGAAGGUGCGGCUGGAUCACCUCCUAA
RNAcentral lists this ribosomal RNA (73 nucleotides) under uncultured cyanobacterium. Its description in RNAcentral is "partial 16S ribosomal RNA". It matches the Rfam family "Bacterial small subunit ribosomal RNA", at positions 1461 to 1533 of the family's 1533-position model. Lineage: Bacteria; Bacillati; Cyanobacteriota. The record is from RNAcentral.